AUCGAGAUAACCAGUCUCUCCACACACCACUAGGCAGGAUGCAGUGGUCAAUGGGCAUAGGCUGUCCACCCUUCUUAAAAACGGGCCAGGGCUCCUCCCUUUAAGCCUCAAAGCUCAUACUGAGCUAUGCAGUGUAGCUCUGAACCUUUGUUCACCCACCUUACACCCUCAGUUGUUAAUUAUAAAUAUGUUAAGCUCAAAGAGAUGGCUCCAGUGGUACCACAACGUACCUAGCAAGUUAUAUACAGCUACUGUUCCUUACUUUAUUAUUACUACAUACCUGUGCUGUUUCCUGGUAGUUUGUUUACACCAGCUCUGAUUUUAUAGAACUCAAUCGAAGUUUAUCUCUAACUACCCAAGUGUCCCCUAUUUACAUUACACAUAUGACACUGUUCCAUUGGUAUCUCACAUGUGGCAUUUUGUCUUAUUUCACUUCUUAAAAAAAAAAUAAAAAAUGUACAGCUACUCCUGACAUCUGUG
Non-coding RNA from Pelobates cultripes (western spadefoot toad), 480 nucleotides. The record is from the annotation of a GenBank genome assembly. Lineage: Eukaryota; Metazoa; Chordata; Amphibia; Anura; Pelobatidae.